Molecule: ribosomal RNA, 655 nt
Filed under: uncultured Actinomycetes bacterium
Lineage: Bacteria; Bacillati; Actinomycetota; Actinomycetes
Description: bacterial SSU rRNA
Rfam family: Bacterial small subunit ribosomal RNA
Source: RNAcentral
UUAGAGAUUCGCGGCCUAUCAGUUUGUUGGUGAGGUAACGGCUCACCAAGGAUUCGACGGGUAGCCGGCUUGUGAGGGCGACCGUCCACACUGGGAGUGAGAUACGGCCCAGACUCCUUCGGGAGGCAGCAGUGGGGAAUAUUUCACAAUGGGCGGAAGCCUGUUGCAGCAACGCCGCGUGCGGGAUGACGGCCUUCGGGUUGUAAACCGCUUUCAGUUAGGACGAAGCGCAAGUGACGGUACUAGCAGAAGAAGGCCCGGCCAAUUACGUGCCACCAGCCGCGGUGAUACGUAGGGUCCGAGCGUUGUCCGGAAUUAUUGGGCGUAAAGGGUUUGUAGGCGGUCUGUCGCUUCGGAAGUGAAAACUCAGGGUUUAACCCUGAGCCUCCUUCCGAUACGGCCAGACUAGAGGGAUGCAGGGGAGAACGGAAUUCCUGGUGGAGCGGUGGAAUGCGCAGAUAUCAGGAGGAACACCGGUGGCGAAGGCGGUUCUCUGGGCAUUUCCUGACGCUGAGAAGCGAAAGCGUGGGGAGCAAACAGGCUUAGAUACCCUGGUAGUCCACGCCGUAAACGGUGGGCACUAGGUGUGGGGGACAUUCCACGUUCUCCGUGCCGAGGCUAACGCAUUAAGUGCCCCGCCUGGGGAGUACGGAAU